GAAAGCGUCAUAAUUUUGUAUUCUCUGCCUUCACUCACGUCGCAUCGUGUUAUAGCAAAGGCAACUUCAAAGUCUCGUGUUCGCAACCUUUACAUCUAUCGGUGAGUAUUUUAACAAACUAAAGUUUUAUAUGAUCAAUCUCUUUGAAUUUUAGUUAGGUUUUGUUCGACUGUUCUACCGGAAAUGAGAGUUUCAUUGUUUUUGUUA
Molecule: long non-coding RNA, 207 nt
Filed under: Vigna radiata
Lineage: Eukaryota; Viridiplantae; Streptophyta; Magnoliopsida; Fabales; Fabaceae
Description: long non-coding RNA (VRAD_LNC007122)
Source: RNAcentral